AUUUACAAUUCUAUUGCUUACAAUGUUUCUUUUAUAAGAAACUAGACUCAAUAUGAUUUAAUUUCAUAUUUUAUUCAUCCUCUAAUUUUUUUUGAAAAAUAGUUGCAGAUUGGGCUGUAUUAUUGAAAUCAAAUAAAGAAAAAAAAACAAAACAGAAUCAGUCCAGGCCCGGUUUGAGCCUUAAUCCUAUCCCCAAAACAAAACAAUAAAAAAUGAAAAAACUGAAACGUCAAAAGCUACUACCAUUAAAUCCUAAAAAGCAGCAUAACUGAACCUUCUGGAAGCCAUUAAUGCUGCUGUAAAAUCUUUCCCAAUCAGCAUCAAAACUUUCAAUCGUCUUGUUCCUUCACCUGCCAAAACUUCUUCAAGACAAAAUCAUACUCCCGAGGAAACCCCUUGUUCUGUCAUUUCUUUACCUGCUACCUCUCGGUUUACCUAUUUCAUUUUCAUCCCUGUCAUUCAAUCUGAUUCCCUCC
Molecule: long non-coding RNA, 476 nt
Filed under: Gossypium raimondii (Peruvian cotton)
Lineage: Eukaryota; Viridiplantae; Streptophyta; Magnoliopsida; Malvales; Malvaceae
Description: long non-coding RNA (GRAI_LNC003698)
Source: RNAcentral